UACAGUAAAAGCUGGGGAGGUGUGUAGGGCUCCAGUCUUUGGGUUCACAGCUUGGCUCUACAUUCAUUGCUGGAGGAAUCCAAGCCUCACAAAAGACCGCUUUUAAAGAAAAACUCUAUUUUUCUUAGAAGAACUAGAAUAUGUAACACCAUUGUGAGAAAUAAAACCCCAAGGUGAACAAGAUUGAAAGUGAAGGCAGCGCUCUAAGGAGGAAGCCAGCUGGCUUGAAUGGUGAUGUAAACAGCCUUGGAGCUUUAACCAAACUUGAGUAAGAACUCCCUGACUUGGAAACACUCAAGUUUCCCACACAUGACUGGAUGGCCCUGGCCACACUGGGAACGGAAUGGGGGCCUCCCAUUGGAACUCAGGGUGGAGGGGGAAGCUCGACCAGCUAUUGUGGCCCCCACUUCCAUUGACAAAAUGUGGUGGUGAGACUUGCUCUUGGAUGCUGUCAGGAAGUAUCAUCUGACUGCGUUUGCUACCCUGGGGGAGACAAACAAAACUUGAGUGAAGGAAAAUGAGAACUCACCUGAAACCAAGAAGAGUCUUUGGAAAAGGAUUUUUGUAUACAAGUGAAAUCACAAUGACAUCAAUAAUCCUGAAUUUCUUCUUCACACUCACUCAUGAAAAGUCUCCGAUUUUCCCACCUUGCUCAGCCACCUUAAGUGCCUUCCUUCAAGAUAUUUCCUACUGCUUCUAAAGAGGAUCUCCCAUUGGCUUGGGAGCAGCGUGAAAUGCAGAUCUGUAGGGAUACAGACAAAGAACAUAUGUAAACCCUUGGGAAUGGACAAUGAUGAAAUGACCCCAAACAUGAUUAUUCCUUGCUACUUCCUGAAAUCUGUUCCUCAAAUCCCCAAACUAACAGUUCCCUGAAUUUACAGUUCACAAAAGUGUUCAAGGGUUUUCAGACCCUUCGCCUGGCUCCACAGAAAGUGCGGAAGGGAGGGAUUUUAAAGAUGUGCACAAGUGGGUCAGCCAAGGUUCACUUCUUGAGAUCUUCCAGAUAUUUAUUAGGAGUUCAUGGGAGGGGAUGUUCAUUUCUGUAGACACAGGAUGGAUUUUUCAAAAUGUAAAGUGCAGGUACUUUUAAGUCUAUGGCUAGACUGAGAUAAGCAUGUCUGCUGAUGAUGGAAUUGUUCAGAUGUAGCCUGUCUAGUUUACUCAGAGGCCACCAAGCAAAGCCAGAGGAGCAGUGGGAGGCAUGCCAGGAAGUUGACAUUGAAGCGACUUUCCCAGGCUCCAGAGGCAACAAUCAGGUGAGCCCAUCCUCUCCAUAAGGAGGGCUAUGCUGACCAACUGGAAGCUUGGGGAGCAUGGUCUAGUGUGGGCUAGCCCAGCAUCAAGGAGAGAAGGCCAUUCUAGGGUAGCAUGUGAAAUAUGUGCACCUUGACUCCAUUGUGCUUGUUUCCUAGGCUUUAAUGGGGCUUAUAAACACUCAGUCUGCUUAUAAACACUCAGUUGGAUAAUUAGCAAAUGUUUAUUUGCUAUUGUGUGCAUAAAGCACUAUGCUAGACACUGGGGCCAUUCAGGGCAACCUGGCUAGGGUGGUGUUUUCUAUGUUUGCCCUUCUACCACCUAUCCUGAUACAUAUGUCUCUCUAUAUAUAGCAAGAAAAAGCAAAUAUGUGCUCUUUUCUUUCCAGAAUCUCUUGUUUGCGGCCCUUUUCCUAAAUCAGUCAGAGGUAUAUGCAUUCUUUGGAGAAAAAUUUAAAUUGUUAGAAAAAAAGAGACAAAAAUUUAUUUCUCUUUAAAUUUCCCAAAUCAGCUCUUUUGCCCUCUUAUUAAAUUGAGGUAUGACAUGCCUACAGUGAGU
This 1812-nucleotide long non-coding RNA is filed under the name Homo sapiens (human). Its description in RNAcentral is "HSALNT0089669". The record is from RNAcentral. Lineage: Eukaryota; Metazoa; Chordata; Mammalia; Primates; Hominidae.